This 326-nucleotide small nuclear RNA is filed under the name Microtus ochrogaster (prairie vole). Its description in RNAcentral is "7SK RNA (ENSMOCG00000011073.1)". It matches the Rfam family "7SK RNA". Rfam says of the family: 7SK was discovered as an abundant small nuclear RNA in the mid-70s but a possible function has only recently been suggested. The record is from RNAcentral. Lineage: Eukaryota; Metazoa; Chordata; Mammalia; Rodentia; Cricetidae.
GUAAAGGUAUUCUGGCUGUGACAUCUGUCACUAUUAAUCACUGGGGUUGAUUUGGCUGAUCUGGCUGGCUAGGUGGGUGUCCCUACCUCCCUACUGAAGCUAUACACUUGGUAGGUGAAGAGGACAGCCUUUCCCAGUGUAGGAGGAUGACCUUUCGCCAUAGAGGAAGACUGUCCCUGGUCAAAGGUAGCUGCACUCCCCUGAUAGAACCUCCAGACAAGCUCUCAAAGGUGUAAAAACCGCUGUGCAAAUGAUUGUGUAAUGAAGCUAAGGUCUCUUGUUAGUAUACACGUGGGAACUGGGAAAGUGCCCUGCUGUCUUCGUUU